This 28-nucleotide non-coding RNA is filed under the name Homo sapiens (human). The record is from RNAcentral. Lineage: Eukaryota; Metazoa; Chordata; Mammalia; Primates; Hominidae.
UGGUAGAAUUCAGCAGUGCAGACACCCA